CGGAUUGGAGUCUGCAACCCGACUCCAUGAAGCUGGAUUCGCUAGUAAUCGCGCAUCAGCCACGGCGCGGUGAAUACGUUCCCGGGCCUUGUACACACCGCCCGUCAAGCCAUGGAAGCCGGGGGUGCCUGAAGUGUGCAGCCGCAAGGAGCGCCCUAAGGUAAAACCGGUGACUGGGGCUAAGUCGUAACAAGGUAUC
Molecule: ribosomal RNA, 199 nt
Filed under: uncultured bacterium
Lineage: Bacteria
Description: partial 16S ribosomal RNA
Rfam family: Bacterial small subunit ribosomal RNA
Source: RNAcentral